RNAcentral lists this unclassified non-coding RNA (189 nucleotides) under uncultured Ascomycota. RNAcentral describes it as "sequence contains ITS1". The record is from RNAcentral. Lineage: Eukaryota; Fungi; Ascomycota.
CCGAGUUAGGGUCUUCUCAGGCCCGACCUCCCAACCCUUUGUCGAACUUACCUUUUGUUGCUUCGGCGGGCCCGCCACAAGGCCGCCGGGGGACCGUUAAACGUCCUCUGGCCCGCGCCCGUCGAUAGCCUAACUUUACAAAUUCUGAAUAAACGUGUCACAAUCUGAGUACCUUUAAAAAUAAAGCAA